AUUGAACGCUGGCGGCAUGCUUUACACAUGCAAGUCGAACGGCAGCGCGGGCUUCGGCCUGGCGGCGAGUGGCGAACGGGUGAGUAAUACAUCGGAACGUGCCCAGUAGUGGGGGAUAGCUCGUCGAAAGCCGGAUUAAUACCGCAUACGACCUGAGGGUGAAAGCGGGGGAUCUUCGGACCUCUCGCUAUUGUAGCGGCCGAUGGCAGAUUAGCUAGUUGGUGGGGUAAAGGCCUACCAAGGCGACGAUCUGUAGCUGGUCUGAGAGGACGACCAGCCACACUGGGACUGAGACACGGCCCAGACUCCUACGGGAGGCAGCAGUGGGGAAUCUUGGACAAUGGGCGAAAGCCUGAUCCAGCAAUGCCGCGUGUGUGAUGAAGGCCUUCGGGUUGUAAAGCACUUUUGGCGGGAACGAAAAGGACUGUGCCAAUACCACGGUUCGAUGACGGUACCCGCAGAAUAAGCACCGGCUAACUACGUG
RNAcentral lists this ribosomal RNA (484 nucleotides) under uncultured bacterium. Its description in RNAcentral is "partial 16S ribosomal RNA". It matches the Rfam family "Bacterial small subunit ribosomal RNA", at positions 30 to 507 of the family's 1533-position model. The record is from RNAcentral.